UUUAAUACGACCACUAUAGGGCGAAUUGGGCCCGACGUCGCAUGCUCCCGGCCGCCAUGGCCGCGGGAUUAUUACCGCGGCUGCUGGCUGCUGCCUCCCGUAGGAGUAUUACCGCGGCUGCUGGCACGAAGUUAGCCGGGGCUUCUUCUCCGGUUACCGUCAUUAUCUUCACCGGUGAAAGAGCUUUACAACCCUAGGGCCUUCAUCACUCACGCGGCAUGGCUGGAUCAGGCUUGCGCCCAUUGUCCAAUAUUCCCCACUGCUGCCUCCCGUAGGAAUCACUAGUGCGGCCGCCUGCAGGUCGACCAUAUGGGAGAGCUCCCAACGCGUUGGAUGCAUAGCUUGAGUAUUCUAUAGUUCACCUAAAUC
Molecule: ribosomal RNA, 369 nt
Filed under: uncultured bacterium
Lineage: Bacteria
Description: partial 16S ribosomal RNA
Source: RNAcentral